Molecule: transfer RNA, 63 nt
Filed under: Labidostomis lusitanica
Lineage: Eukaryota; Metazoa; Arthropoda; Insecta; Coleoptera; Chrysomelidae
Description: tRNA-His
Source: RNAcentral
AUUUAAGUAGUUUAAAAAAAAUAUGGGAUUGUGGGACCCAAGAUGUAUCGUUUAUCUUAAAUA